Molecule: ribosomal RNA, 445 nt
Filed under: uncultured bacterium
Lineage: Bacteria
Description: partial 16S ribosomal RNA
Rfam family: Bacterial small subunit ribosomal RNA
Source: RNAcentral
GUGAGGAAUAUUGGUCAAUGGGCGGGAGCCUGAACCAGCCAAGUCGCGUGAAGGAAGAAGGAUCUAUGGUUCGUAAACUUCUUUUGCAGGGGAAUAAAGUGCAGGACGUGUCCUGUUUUGUAUGUACCCUGAGAAUAAGGAUCGGCUAACUCCGUGCCAGCAGCCGCGGUAAUACGGAGGAUCCGAGCGUUAUCCGGAUUUAUUGGGUUUAAAGGGUGCGUAGGUGGUUUGAUAAGUCAGGGGUGAAAGUUUGCAGCUUAACUGUAAAAAUGCCGUUGAAACUGUCGGACUUGAGUGUAAAUGAGGUAGGCGGAAUGCGUGGUGUAGCGGUGAAAUGCAUAGAUAUCACGCAGAACUCCGAUUGCGAAGGCAGCUUACUAAGCUACAACUGACACUGAAGCACGAAAGCGUGGGGAUCAAACAGGAUUAGAAACCCGUGUAGUCC